UACGGAGGGGGCUAGCGUUGUUCGGAAUUACUGGGCGUAAAGCGCACGUAGGCGGCUUUGUAAGUUAGAGGUGAAAGCCCGGGGCUCAACUCCGGAAUUGCCUUUAAGACUGCAUCGCUCGAAUUGUGGAGAGGUAAGUGGAAUUCCGAGUGUAGAGGUGAAAUUCGUAGAUAUUCGGAAGAACACCAGUGGCGAAGGACGACUUACUGGAC
This 212-nucleotide ribosomal RNA is filed under the name uncultured bacterium. RNAcentral's name for it is "partial 16S ribosomal RNA". It matches the Rfam family "Bacterial small subunit ribosomal RNA", at positions 524 to 734 of the family's 1533-position model. The record is from RNAcentral.